AAAAAUGAUUGCCGGACGAACUUAAUUCCUUCUUUUAAAUUGGACGCGGUUAAAGACGGACUGCUGAGUAACACGUGAGUAACCUGCCUAUUAGAGGGGAAUAACAGUGAGAAAUCAUUGCUAAUACCGCGUAUGCUCACAGUAUCACAUGAUACAGUGAGGAAAGGAGCAAUCCGCUAAUAGAUGGACUCGCGUCUGAUUAGCUAGUUGGUGGGGCAAAGGCCUACCAAGGCGACGAUCAGUAGCCGGACUGAGAGGUUGAACGGCCACAUUGGGACUGAGAUACGGCCCAGACUCCUACGGGAGGCAGCAGUCGGGAAUAUUGCGCAAUGGAGGAAACUCUGACGCAGUGACGCCGCGUAUAGGAAGAAGGUUUUCGGAUUGUAAACUAUUGUCGUUAGGGAAGAAAAAAGACAGUACCUAAGGAGGAAGCCCCGGCUAACUAUGUGCCAGCAGCCGCGGUAAUACAUAGGGGGCAAGCGUUAUCCGGAAUUAUUGGGUGUAAAGGGUGCGUAGACGGGUGUUUAAGUUGGUUGUGAAAUCCCUCGGCUCAACUGAGGAACUGCAACCAAAACUGGAUAUCUUGAGUGUCGGAGAGGAAAGUGGAAUUCCUAGUGUAGCGGUGAAAUGCGUAGAUAUUAGGAGGAACACCAGUGGCGAAGGCGACUUUCUGGACGAUAACUGACGUUGAGGCACGAAAGUGUGGGGAGCAAACAGGAUUAGAUACCCUGGUAGUCCACACUGUAAACGAUGGAUACUAGGUGUAGGAUGUAUUAAACAU
Molecule: ribosomal RNA, 781 nt
Filed under: uncultured Bacillota bacterium
Lineage: Bacteria; Bacillati; Bacillota
Description: bacterial SSU rRNA
Rfam family: Bacterial small subunit ribosomal RNA
Source: RNAcentral